This 253-nucleotide ribosomal RNA is filed under the name uncultured bacterium. Its description in RNAcentral is "partial 16S ribosomal RNA". It matches the Rfam family "Bacterial small subunit ribosomal RNA", at positions 524 to 776 of the family's 1533-position model. The record is from RNAcentral.
UACGAGUGCCCCAAGCGUUAUCCGGAAUUAUUGGGCGUAAAGGGUGUGUAGGUGGCGUUGUUAGUCUCUCGUCAAAUUCUUCGGCUUAACCGGGGGCAGGCGGGGGAAACGGCAAUGCUUGAGGAUGCGAGGGGUGAAUGGAACUCAUGGAGUAGGGGUGAAAUCCGUUGAUAUCAUGGGGAACACCAAAAGCGAAGGCAAUUCACUGGCGCAUUCCUGACACUGAAACACGAAAGCGUGGGUAGCGAACGGG